This 449-nucleotide ribosomal RNA is filed under the name uncultured bacterium. RNAcentral's name for it is "partial 16S ribosomal RNA". It matches the Rfam family "Bacterial small subunit ribosomal RNA", at positions 29 to 523 of the family's 1533-position model. The record is from RNAcentral.
AACGAACGCUGGCGGCAGGCCUAACACAUGCAUGUCGAACGCCCUAGCAAUAGGGAGUGGCAGACGGGUGAGUAACGCGUGGGAACCUUCCCAUUGGUACGGAAUAGCCCAGGGAAACUUGGAAUAAUACCGUAUAAGCCCGAAAGGGGAAAGAUUUAGCGCCGAUGGAUGGGCCCGCGUAGGAUUAGCUAGUUGGUGAGGUAAUGGCUCACCAAGGCGACGAUCCUUAGCUGGUCUGAGAGGACGAUCAGCCACACUGGGACUGAGACACGGGCCAGACGCCUGCGGGAGGCAGCAGUGGGGAAUAUUGGACAAGGGGCGCAAGGCUGAUCCAGCCAUGCCGCGUGAGUGACGAAGGCCUUAGGGUUGUAAAGCUCUUGUGGCGGGGACGAUAAUGACGGUACCCGCAGAAUAAGCCCCGGCUAACUUCGUGCCAGCCGCCGCAGUAA